GAAAUAUCAAAAAAUUAAGCUACUAACUUAAAUUAUAGUGGUUAAUAACCAUUAAUAUUUCU
This 62-nucleotide transfer RNA is filed under the name Battus polydamas (gold-rim swallowtail). Its description in RNAcentral is "tRNA-Ser". The record is from RNAcentral. Lineage: Eukaryota; Metazoa; Arthropoda; Insecta; Lepidoptera; Papilionidae.